AUUGAACGCUGGCGGCAGGCCUAACACAUGCAAGUCGAACGGUAACAGGAAGAAGCUUGCUUCUUUGCUGACGAGUGGCGGACGGGUGAGUAAUGUCUGGGAAACUGCCUGAUGGAGGGGGAUAACUACUGGAAACGGUAGCUAAUACCGCAUAACGUCGCAAGACCAAAGAGGGGGACCUUCGGGCCUCUUGCCAUCGGAUGUGCCCAGCUGGGAUUAGCUAGUAGGUGGGGUAACGGCUCACCUAGGCGACGAUCCCUAGCUGGUCUGAGGGGAUGACCAGCCACACUGGAACUGAGACACGGUCCAGACUCCUACGGGAGGCAGCAGUGGGGAAUAUUGCACAAUGGGCGCAAGCCUGAUGCAGCCAUGCCGCGUGUAUGAAGAAGGCCUUCGGGUUGUAAAGUACUUUCAGCGGGGAGGAAGGGAGUAAAGUUAAUACCUUUACUCAUUGACGUUACCCGCAGAAGAAGCACCGGCUAACUCCGUG
RNAcentral lists this ribosomal RNA (490 nucleotides) under uncultured bacterium. Its description in RNAcentral is "partial 16S ribosomal RNA". It matches the Rfam family "Bacterial small subunit ribosomal RNA", at positions 30 to 507 of the family's 1533-position model. The record is from RNAcentral.